CGGCGUGCCUAAUCAUGCAAGUGGAACGCAGUUGAUUCACCGGAGCUUGCUCCAUCGAAUUGACUGAGUCGCGAACGGGUGAGUAACGCGUAGGUAACCUGCCUGAUAGCGGGGGAUAACUAUUGGAAACGAUAGCUAAUACCGCAUAACAGUAUUUACCGCAUGGUAGAGACUUAAAAGGAGCAAAUGCUUCACUAUCAGAUGGACCUGCGUUGUAUUAGCUAGUAGGUAGGGUAACGGCCUACCUAGGCAUCGAUACAUAGCCGACCUGAGAGGGUGAUCGGCCACACUGGGACUGAGACACGGCCCAGACUCCUACGGGAGGCAGCAGUAGGGAAUCUUCGGCAAUGGGGGCAACCCUGACCGAGCAACGCCGCGUGAGUGAAGAAGGUUUUCGGAUCGUAAAGCUCUGUUGUAAGAGAAGAAUGUGUGUGGGAGUGGAAAAUCCAUGCAGUGACGGUAUCUUACCAGAAAGGGACGGCUAACUACGUGCCAGCAGCCGCGGUAAU
This 509-nucleotide ribosomal RNA is filed under the name uncultured bacterium. Its description in RNAcentral is "bacterial SSU rRNA". It matches the Rfam family "Bacterial small subunit ribosomal RNA", at positions 40 to 524 of the family's 1533-position model. The record is from RNAcentral.